Molecule: ribosomal RNA, 567 nt
Filed under: Luciogobius guttatus (flat-headed goby)
Lineage: Eukaryota; Metazoa; Chordata; Actinopteri; Gobiiformes; Gobiidae
Description: partial 12S rRNA
Rfam family: Bacterial small subunit ribosomal RNA
Source: RNAcentral
AUACUAAAGCUAAACAUCUUCAAAGCUGUUAUACUCACACGAAGACAGGAAAACCUUCUACGAAAGUGGCUUUAAAUUAAUGCUAACCCACGAAAACUAGGAAACAAACUGGGAUUAGAUACCCCACUAUGCCUAGCCUUAAACACAAGUAAACAUUUACACCUUCUGCUUGCCAGGGAACUACGAGCCCCAGCUUAAAACCCAAAGGACUUGGCGGUGCUUUAGACCCCCCUAGAGGAGCCUGUUCUAGAACCGAUAACCCCCGUUAAACCUCACCCUUUCUUGUUUAUCCCGCCUAUAUACCGCCGUCGUCAGCUUACCCUGUGAAGGUUUCAUAGUGAGCUUAAUUGGUAAAACCUAAAACGUCAGGUCGAGGUGUAGCGUACGAGAGGGGAAGAAAUGGGCUACAUUCACUGGACCAGUGUACACGAACAAUACUCUGAAAUCGAAUAUUUAAAGGAGGAUUUAGCAGUAAGGAAAGAAUAGAGUGCUUUCCUGAAAUUGGCCCUGAAGCGCGCACACACCGCCCGUCACUCUCCCCACCAACUAGAUUAAAAGUAUAUAAAA